GGCAGUUCUCGGGUAAUGCGCCCUGGAAUCGGGCUCCCUCCUCUCUGGUUCUGGGUGUGUCACCUGAGAAUCACU
This is a non-coding RNA of Myotis brandtii (Brandt's bat), 75 nucleotides long. The record is from Rfam. Lineage: Eukaryota; Metazoa; Chordata; Mammalia; Chiroptera; Vespertilionidae.